Molecule: ribosomal RNA, 383 nt
Filed under: uncultured eukaryote
Lineage: Eukaryota
Description: partial 18S ribosomal RNA
Rfam family: Eukaryotic small subunit ribosomal RNA
Source: RNAcentral
CAAUAGCGUAUAUUAAAGUUGUUGCAGUUAAAAAGCUCGUAGUUGGAUUUCUGGCAGGAGCGACCGGUCACACACUCUGUGUGUGAACUUGCGUUGUCUCUGGCCAUCCUUGGGAAGAUCCUGUUUGGCAUUAAGUUGUCGGGCAGGGGAUACCCAUCGUUUACUGUGAAAAAAUUAGAGUGUUUAAAGCAGGCUUAUGCCGUUGAAUAUAUUAGCAUGGAAUAAUAAGAUAGGACUUCGGAACUAUUUUGUUGGUUUGCGUUACGAAGUAAUGAUUAAUAGGGACAGUUGGGGGUAUUCAUAUUUCGUUGUCAGAGGUGAAAUUCUUGGAUUUCCGAAAGACGAACUACUGCGAAANCANNNACCAAGGAUGUUUUCAUNAA